RNAcentral lists this ribosomal RNA (254 nucleotides) under uncultured bacterium. RNAcentral describes it as "partial 16S ribosomal RNA". It matches the Rfam family "Bacterial small subunit ribosomal RNA", at positions 524 to 776 of the family's 1533-position model. The record is from RNAcentral.
UACGUAGGGUGCGAGCGUUGUCCGGAAUUAUUGGGCGUAAAGAGCUCGUAGGCGGUGUGUCACGUCGGCCGUGAAAACCUGCAGCUUAACUGUGGGCGUGCGGUCGAUACGGGCAUCACUGGAGUUCGGCAGGGGAGACUGGAAUUCCUGGUGUAGCGGUGAAAUGCGCAGAUAUCAGGAGGGACACCGGUGGCGAAGGCGGGUCUCUGGGCCGAUACUGACGUUGAGGAGCGAAAGCGUGGGGAGCAAACAGG